UUUUAGACAUUCAAUGAUGUCAUCUUCAUCGACUAAUCAACAGUGGACAUUGAGCAAUUUGCUCAAAAUUGCAACAGAAAAAAAAGGAAGAAGAUCAAGCAGGCCGAGUCCCAAGCAUCCGCUCACACUCCAUGUGUGGGGGGGGAAAUUUCUCGCCAGGGACCAGUCCCAUAUUUGAUUUUUGAUGGUAUCAUGGCUCAAGAUUUCUUUGAGGAAGAAAUCAUCAAGAGAUAUGCUGGACCCUAUGUCAGAGGUGUUUCUGGGACCACAUAGUUUCUAUCAAGACCAAAACACACUGCCGGCCCCGGGUUUGCGUUGCAAACGAGGACAUAAAUUGGGUCAAGACGCCAGCAGAGUCUCCUGAUUUAAACCCGAUCGAACUUGUCUGGCAUCAACUGAAAACAUUCAUCCGUAACUUUGCCAAGCGGACAAGCAAAGAUUAACUGGUCAAGGCCAUCAAGAUGUUUUGUCUAGAAGAAUUGACAAUACAAUGCAACAAAUGCAUUGACCAUCUCACAAAAGUUUUUUACCUGUGGCCGUGGAGCUGGGUGGAAGUGUGACUAAAAUGUUGUUUAAAUAAACAUCUGCAUUUGAAUGCAUUUUUUCUCGUUAUUUAAUUAACGAAAGCAUAAAGAUGUUGAUGAAGAAAUAC
Long non-coding RNA from Oncorhynchus keta (chum salmon), 652 nucleotides. RefSeq lists it as uncharacterized. The record is from RefSeq and is a predicted model, not a curated record. NCBI's taxonomy places the organism in Eukaryota, Metazoa, Chordata, Actinopteri, Salmoniformes, Salmonidae. The transcript is spliced from 4 exons.